UCGUAGUUGCGUCCCAAAAGGGCUUUAUGAAAGAAAUCUGGUACCAAAGAAGGUUUUUCACAUACAAGAUGAAAGUGGAAGAUCUUAUAUGGAAGACUUUAGAAUAACAUUGAUUCUAGUCGAAAAGCAUGACUAGGACUUGCAUGAUCUCAUGAGUUCAGACUCAAAAAAAAUAAAAAAAAAUCAAAAAAAUCAAAAAUCAAAAAUAAAAAAAAUCAAUCAAUCAAAGCCAAAAAUAGGGGAAAAAGAAAGAAGAAAAAAGAAAAAGAAAAAGAAAAGGAGAGGUCAAUGCGAAAACCCGCAAAGGGCGCUUU
This 314-nucleotide long non-coding RNA is filed under the name Gossypium raimondii (Peruvian cotton). Its description in RNAcentral is "long non-coding RNA (GRAI_LNC011223)". Lineage: Eukaryota; Viridiplantae; Streptophyta; Magnoliopsida; Malvales; Malvaceae. The record is from RNAcentral.